Molecule: non-coding RNA, 932 nt
Filed under: Drosophila simulans
Lineage: Eukaryota; Metazoa; Arthropoda; Insecta; Diptera; Drosophilidae
Description: Eukaryotic large subunit ribosomal RNA
Rfam family: Eukaryotic large subunit ribosomal RNA
Source: Rfam by way of RNAcentral
GACCCGAAAGAUGGUGAAAUAUACUUGAUUCAGGUUGAAGUCAGGGGAAACCCUGAAGGAAGACCAAAACAGUUCUGACGUGCAAAUCGAUUGUCAGAAUUGAGUAUAGGGGCGAAAGACCAAUCGAACCAUCUAGUAGCUGGUUCCUUCCGAAGUUUCCCUCAGGAUAGCUGGUGCAUUUUAAUAUUAUAUAAAAUAAUCUUAUCUGGUAAAGCGAAUGAUUAGAGGCCUUAGGGUCGAAACGAUCUUAACCUAUUCUCAAACUUUAAAUGGGUAAGAACCUUAACUUUCUUGAUAUGAAGUUCAAGGUUAUGAUAUAAUGUGCCCAGUGGGCCACUUUUGGUAAGCAGAACUGGCGCUGUGGGAUGAACCAAACGUAAUGUUACGGUGCCCAAAUUAACAACUCAUGCAGAUACCAUGAAAGGCGUUGGUUGCUUAAAACAGCAGGACGGUGAUCAUGGAAGUCGAAAUCCGCUAAGGAGUGUGUAACAACUCACCUGCCGAAGCAACUAGCCCUUAAAAUGGAUGGCGCUUAAGUUGUAUACCUAUACAUUACCGCUAAAGUAGAUGAUUUAUAUUACUUGUGAUAUAAAUUUUGAAACUUUAGUGAGUAGGAAGGUACAAUGGUAUGCGUAGAAGUGUUUGGCGUAAGCCUGCAUGGAGCUGCCAUUGGUACAGAUCUUGGUGGUAGUAGCAAAUAAUCGAAUGAGACCUUGGAGGACUGAAGUGGAGAAGGGUUUCGUGUGAACAGUGGUUGAUCACGAGUUAGUCGGUCCUAAGUUCAAGGCGAAAGCCGAAAAUUUUCAAGUAAAACAAAAAUGCCUAACUAUAUAAACAAAGCGAAUAUAAUACACUUGAAUAAUUUUGAACGAAAGGGAAUACGGUUCCAAUUCCGUAACCUGUUGAGUAUCCGUUUGUUAGAAUCCACCACA